UCACUCCAAAACCAGCAUCUUGAGAUUUUACACAAAGCGGAAAGAGGGGGUCGUGGACUAGUGACACCAUGACACCCACCAGGAGGUAACAUCAAGAUGAUGGCCUUUUUAGCCCAGUAAGGAGAAGGUCGUUGUUGUCCACUUGAGCGACCGUUACGAGAGAUUAAUCGCUUCUUCCCACGGGCGCCGCAGAGGAGCGAGUCCUAUGGCAAAUUAAACGUUGAUGCGGCCUCAUUCAGGCUGAUUUUAUUUUGACAUAAAUCAGGAUGUGCGGCCACAGGAGUUUUUAUUGAUGUUAUCUUGACCUAGAGCUAACAACGCAUUAUUGAGAGUUCAACUUGUCGGUGGGGUCAUUCUGGGUGAUGGAGUACAAAACUCUUUGUUGUGUGUGAAGGCACAUCAGUUAAGGUCACGGCCGUGCACGUUACGCAUGCCUCACCAGACUUGUCCCAGGACAAUGGAAGCGCCACUUGGGACGCGAAAGCGACUGAAAACAUCCUGGACGGUCAAGUCCGAUGGUCAUUUAUUGCCUUGCUAUUUGGACAAAAAUGCUUUAAGAAGUGCAAAUCCACAUUUUUUUUGAAUGGCAACGUCGCUCUUUUUGUAGAGAACACACAAGCAAACAAAGCACAACAAGUUAUAUCCACCGUGUUCCAAAUUUGAGCGAAAUACUGCUGUCAUCGCCCCGGACGACUCGGGGGAAAUGAACCAAAAAACGCCCUCGCUUCAGAAUUUGGAACA
This is a long non-coding RNA of Syngnathus acus (greater pipefish), 741 nucleotides long. RefSeq lists it as uncharacterized. NCBI's taxonomy places the organism in Eukaryota, Metazoa, Chordata, Actinopteri, Syngnathiformes, Syngnathidae. The record is from RefSeq and is a predicted model, not a curated record. The transcript has 2 exons.